CCUACGGGAGGCAGCAGUGGGGAAUAUUGGACAAUGGGCGAAAGCCUGAUCCAGCCAUGCCGCGUGUGUGAAGAAGGUCUUCGGAUUGUAAAGCACUUUAAGUUGGGAGGAAGGGCAUUAACCUAAUACGUUAGUGUUUUGACGUUACCGAGAGAAUAACCACCGGCUAACUUCGUGCCAGCAGCCGCGGUAAU
RNAcentral lists this ribosomal RNA (194 nucleotides) under uncultured Pseudomonas sp. RNAcentral's name for it is "partial 16S ribosomal RNA". It matches the Rfam family "Bacterial small subunit ribosomal RNA", at positions 338 to 524 of the family's 1533-position model. Lineage: Bacteria; Pseudomonadati; Pseudomonadota; Gammaproteobacteria; Pseudomonadales; Pseudomonadaceae. The record is from RNAcentral.